GGGGUGCUCGAGUGGCGAACGGGUGAGUAACACGUGAGUAACCUGCCCUUGACUUUGGGAUAACUUCAGGAAACUGGGGCUAAUACCGGAUAGGAGCUCCUGCUGCAUGGUGGGGGUUGGAAAGUUUCGGCGGUUGGGGAUGGACUCGCGGUUUAUCAGCUUGUUGGUGGGGUAGUGGCUUACCAAGGCUUUGACGGGUAGCCGGCCUGAGAGGGUGACCGGCCACAUUGGGACUGAGAUACGGCCCAG
RNAcentral lists this ribosomal RNA (249 nucleotides) under uncultured Actinomycetales bacterium. RNAcentral describes it as "partial 16S ribosomal RNA". It matches the Rfam family "Bacterial small subunit ribosomal RNA", at positions 84 to 334 of the family's 1533-position model. The record is from RNAcentral. Lineage: Bacteria; Bacillati; Actinomycetota; Actinomycetes; Actinomycetales.